AUCCACCUUAUCUUAAUAUUAUCCUUGAGGACUACAAAUUUUCCUCAUAAAAAAUCCUCAAAAAAAACCUCGAAGUUCCUAGAAAUUGCCACUUUCUUACCCCUCAUUUAUUUACUGUAUGAACAAGGAAAGAGAGGCGUGAAUCUCCAUCUAUUUCCAGUUUUCUUAUAGCCACACAAUUUGGGUAUUUCCAUUCAUCCCACAUCGCUCAGAUCUAAGAAUCCCAUCCCAAAUGUUCUAUCUCCAUGACUGGGAAUAAUUCCUGCAUCUUUUCAUUCCACAAUACUCUAUCCAAUUUUUUAAUUAUGCAAUCAUCAUCAGUUCUUUCAUUCCACCAUGUAUAUUUACUUUCUUGAAAUCCACAUUCUUCUAAAUAGCACAAAUUGAUGCAAUGAUUGAAAUCUUAUAUUUCAUCUAUGCUAUCAGAGUAUGGUGGACCUACCAAAGUUUAUUAAGACUAUUCACAAGGGUACUCAUAGUACCAGUGCUAAGAGUAUACACUGAUAUGGUGAUUUCAGUCAACAUCCAUCCCGAGAUUCCAAUAUGAGUGCGACCCGUGGAUCUUGAGUAUGUGCAGAGUAGGAGCAGUCUUGAAUUACUAGUGAGCUCCAGUAUUCGGGGCUUAUUUCGGACUCCAUACUAUCCUUUUUUAUCAUUAUUUAUUUAUUGGAGAUAGAUUUAUGUAUUUUCUGCACUCUUUAUUGUAUUAGAGCUUUACUCAUGCCAUCAAAUUUUGGGACAUGAGUAAUGCUUUGUUCAAGUUUUAAUGUUGUUGUUAUUUAUAUGUGGCCUAACUUUCUUAUGAUGUCUCAUAUUGGAUUUAUUUACUUCCUUUGAAUUA
Molecule: long non-coding RNA, 841 nt
Organism: Capsicum annuum
Lineage: Eukaryota; Viridiplantae; Streptophyta; Magnoliopsida; Solanales; Solanaceae
Exons: 3
Source: RefSeq, a predicted model, not a curated record